RNAcentral lists this ribosomal RNA (104 nucleotides) under Microcebus murinus (gray mouse lemur). The record is from RNAcentral. Lineage: Eukaryota; Metazoa; Chordata; Mammalia; Primates; Cheirogaleidae.
GUCUAUGGCCACACCAUCCUGAACACGUCCGAUCUCAUCUGACCUGGGAAGCUAAGCAGGGUCGGACUUGGAUGGGAGAAACUUUUGCUUCCUGACUACAGACG